RNAcentral lists this ribosomal RNA (429 nucleotides) under uncultured archaeon. Its description in RNAcentral is "bacterial SSU rRNA". It matches the Rfam family "Archaeal small subunit ribosomal RNA", at positions 474 to 903 of the family's 1478-position model. The record is from RNAcentral.
UACCAGCUCUCCGAGUGGUGUGGAUGUUUAUUGGGCCUAAAGCAUCCGUAGCUGGCUGGACAAGUCCCCUGUUAAAUCCACCGAUUUAAUCGUUGGUGUGCGGGGGAUACUGUGCGGCUAGGGGACGGGAGAGGCAGACGGUAUUUUCGGGGUAGGGGUGAAAUCCUAUAAUCCCGGGAAGACACCAGUGGCGAAGGCUGUCUGCUAGAACGCGCCCGACGGUGAGGGAUGAAAGCUGGGGGGAGCGAACCGGAUUAGAUACCCGGGUAGUCCCAGCUGUAAACGAUGCAGGCUAGGUGUUUGGACGGCCACGUGCCGUUCUAGUGCCGCAGGGAAGCCGUUAAGCCUGCCGCCUGGGGAAUACGGCCGCAAGGCUGAAACUUAAAGGAAUUGGCGGGGGAGCACCACAAGGGGUGAAGCUUGCGGUUU